Long non-coding RNA from Meriones unguiculatus (Mongolian gerbil), 1737 nucleotides. RefSeq lists it as uncharacterized. The transcript is spliced from 3 exons. The record is from RefSeq and is a predicted model, not a curated record. NCBI's taxonomy places the organism in Eukaryota, Metazoa, Chordata, Mammalia, Rodentia, Muridae.
CCUGUCCUUGGGAACGUGGGAGGGGGAUGGCUGAGUGAGGCGAGACCUUGGAGGACUUAAGUCUCCGAAAAAGUGAGCUCGGGGAAACUGAGAGGAAGGGCUUCACGACGUAAAGGCAGCUCCCACCGGUGUGCCCGAAAGCGAAGUCAGGGAUGGAGCGAGGGUGUGCUGAUCGCUCUCCAACCCCUUUUCUGGUUAAACUUCUUGGGCCUGGCUUUCCUCCGCUGGGAAGGGAAACAUCAACGCCGACGUUGUUUUGCAAUGAAACUAGAGCGAAAUAAAAGUGUCAGCAGAGUUGUCGGCUUGGAGACAAGCCAAGGUCGCCAAAGAUGAUUUUCUGUAUUUAUUUUUAUUUUUAUUUUUAUUAUUUAUUUAUUUGCUUAGAAACUAAAGUUUAAGCCAAAGACCCACUCCUGAAGCUAAGGUAGAAAACAGCUGAUGCCCAGUGUUUAGGACCAACCUCGGUCCUAGCAGCCCUCUGCCGCUGGCUAAAGGGACAUUCCUUCUGACUGGCUUUCCAGCCCUGGGUAGCGAAGCCACUGCACGGCGGACCUGGGGCUUCAUUCUUCAUCCCCUAUACGAACAAGGAGAAAGGUCUGCCACCAAAAGCAGCAACACAGUCACCUUAACCUCCGGGGAGUCUCAACGCGCUGGGAAACCAGUGCAGAGUUAGACAGAGAGAAAUGAGUGAGUCCCACUUGCCUUGGGCUCCCGCGACCCGUCUGAGCGCCACGCUGUGACCCCGGGUCUAAACACAGGCAGCUUCCAUUCCACAGACGUUGAUGGAGAUGUGUGCCAGUUGGUUGCAGGGGGUGCAAAGAUGGAUACCUCAGGUCUCCUGCCCUUGAGGAGCUUGUGGUCGGGGGAAGAGAUUGAUGCUGCAUAAUAUCGCCUCGUUAUUCAUGUUUAAAAGCUCUGGAAGCAUUGCUUGGGGCAGAAAUAACUGUAUAAGAAGCACUGUCAAUGAUACUGGAGAACAUCUGUGCAGGAGAAUGCGGGGAAACACACCCUUGGGGCAUCAGCAUAACGGCAGAUGUCUUUGGAACUGGGUUGUGGCUAUUCUGCUGUCUUUGGUCGGAAUUAGCCGGUGCUGUCAGGAAAGACCCUAAGCUGUGAUGCCAGCAGUGGAUCACUUCUCUGUUAUAGCCAAAGGUGGGUUCCAUCCCUCGCACCAAGAAAAAAUAAGUCCUGACUUAUUUGCCUAACACGAAAGACCAUGCUGUCUUCCUAGCACAGUUUCCCAGCCCCCCUUCUACAAGAUGUAUGCUCUCACCAACUGGAUUAUUCAUUGUUUGUGGUGCAGAUUCUGCUCCAGCCCCAAAUACCAUAAAUGUUUAUUCAGCCAGAAUUCCAUUUAGUCAAUCUCUAUGACCAUUAAACAGCCACAGGGACAUAACCAAAGUCCAUGUUGUUCCAUUCUUUAACAUGCCUCACGUUGAAAGUCCUCUUCUUAAGUCUGGGUGGGCUGUGGGGAUUCCCUUUCUAUGAUCAGAAUGCAUCAGAAGGGCUGUUAUGUAAAGUCUAAAGUUUUGCCAGAAAUGGCCAUGUAGCUUGCGUCUGCUUUUCUUGGAGUGCUUGUGCUGGGGGAGGUAGGUACCACACAAGCAUAGAUGCUCUGAGACUACCAUGCCGGAAAGACCACAGACAUGCAAUCUGGUGAGAAGUCUGGCUCCUACAUAACUGCCAGGAAAGGAGGGGGCACCCGAGAGUGACUGCAGCCCCAUUACUUUUCCAGGA